UACAGAGGUCUCAAGCGUUGUUCGGAUUCAUUGGGCGUAAAGGGUGCGUAGGCGGCGCGGUAAGUCGGGUGUGAAAUCUCGGAGCUUAACUCCGAAACUGCAUUCGAUACUGCCGUGCUUGAGGACUGGAGAGGAGACUGGAAUUUACGGUGUAGCGGUGAAAUGCGUAGAUAUCGAGAGGAACACCAGUGGCGAAGGCGAGUCCCCGGACAACACCUGACACUGAGGCACGAAAGCUAGGGGAGCAAACAGG
This 253-nucleotide ribosomal RNA is filed under the name uncultured bacterium. RNAcentral's name for it is "partial 16S ribosomal RNA". It matches the Rfam family "Bacterial small subunit ribosomal RNA", at positions 524 to 776 of the family's 1533-position model. The record is from RNAcentral.